UUCGGGUUUUCGCAUCUCUAGUCCCUGGAAGGGUUUAGAAUCAGAGAGGAAGGAAGAGUUAUGAUCCUCGCCGAGAUAAUGGAAUUCGACUAGGGUAUGAAGAUACAAAGCCAAGCUUAUCGAAAGGAAUUUAGAGAGGGUCGCCGAUUGCUCAAAUCCGAUUUGGGGGGAUCAAAUCCGACGUACAAGGUAUGGGUACUGAAGAGGAGAAGGAAAGGAAGAAUAUGGUGGCCGGACGGUGUUGAAUGGUGAGAGCCUGAGAGGUUGUCGAGCUGAACAAGGAAACUGACAAAGCGAGCGAGGGGCGAUCUGCAAGUGGUUGUGAGAGAUUGCAGUGUGUGUGUGUGUGUGUAUAAAUCAAAGUUUUGGUAUUGAGAUUUAUAUUGGGGGAGAUUUCAAUGGAGACUGAGAUCUGUUGUGAAGGGUUUCAGUUUUGUACAUGGAUUGAUUCUGAGAAGGUGAAGAGGAGACCCCUGAGUGGCUUGACUUGAUUUUCGAGGAAGUUGGGAUGAGCAAAGCAAGAGACAGGUGCUUGUUGUGGCAGCGCCAAAAUCGAAUCGGCAUCAACAUCUUGUUGUGGAUAACAACCACUGGAAUCUAGGUAAUGUACUAUUAUUCUAGCAAGGGGCUUAUCAUCUCCGAAGAUGUUCAAGUACAAGUCGAGACCUCCAAGCCACUCCAUGAUUUAUUCUACUUUGAUUUCUAACAUCAAUUGUGACACGCAGAUCACCGAGGUUCACUGUCAAAUUUUUCUAGAUGGUGGUGUAGUUAGGGAUGAUAGCUGAAGGUCUGGCAAGGUCUGGAUCAAAAGAAGCAAAGUUAGUGGGAGAAGAAAUUGAUGUAAGGUGGAUUAGAACAAAUUAUAAAGCCUACACGAAAACAGGUGUCAUGCAUGAAAAAUUUGAUGUACAAAAGUAUGGAGAAUUUGAUGAAUAUGUACCCCAGGCAUAUCACUAUAUCGCUGUAAUAAUAAUGAUCCUUGAUUAUUAUGAAACUAUUAUUUAUACAAUUAAUAUUACAUGGCCUUGUUUUGCUUCCACUG
Molecule: long non-coding RNA, 1042 nt
Organism: Argentina anserina (silverweed cinquefoil)
Lineage: Eukaryota; Viridiplantae; Streptophyta; Magnoliopsida; Rosales; Rosaceae
Exons: 4
Source: RefSeq, a predicted model, not a curated record